This 253-nucleotide ribosomal RNA is filed under the name uncultured bacterium. RNAcentral describes it as "partial 16S ribosomal RNA". It matches the Rfam family "Bacterial small subunit ribosomal RNA", at positions 524 to 776 of the family's 1533-position model. The record is from RNAcentral.
UACGAAGGGGGCUAGCGUUGCUCGGAAUCACUGGGCGUAAAGGGUGCGUAGGCGGGUCUUUAAGUCAGGGGUGAAAUCCUGGAGCUCAACUCCAGAACUGCCUUUGAUACUGAAGAUCUUGAGUUCGGGAGAGGUGAGUGGAACUGCGAGUGUAGAGGUGAAAUUCGUAGAUAUUCGCAAGAACACCAGUGGCGAAGGCGGCUCACUGGCCCGAUACUGACGCUGAUGCGCGAAAGCUAGGGGAGCAAACAGG